GCCUCAGUGGUUGAGUUGGCUAAGACACCCGUACCCGGAGAUUCGGGAGGUCCCAGGUUCGAACCCUGGCUGAGGUG
Non-coding RNA from Solenopsis invicta (red fire ant), 77 nucleotides. The record is from the annotation of a RefSeq genome assembly. NCBI's taxonomy places the organism in Eukaryota, Metazoa, Arthropoda, Insecta, Hymenoptera, Formicidae.